GAUCCGCUGGCCUAGUGGUUAGAGCGUCCGCCUAUGAUGCCGAAGGUCGUAGGUUCGAUACCUGGUCUAGUCA
Potamilus streckersoni is the source of this 73-nucleotide non-coding RNA. The record is from the annotation of a GenBank genome assembly. Lineage: Eukaryota; Metazoa; Mollusca; Bivalvia; Unionida; Unionidae.